UUUGAUGAUGAUGAUGAUGGUGAUGAUGAUAGUGAUGAUGAUGAUGAUGGUGAUGAUGAUGAUAGUGAUGAUGAUGGUGAUGAUGGUGAUGAUGGUGAUGAUGAUGAUGAUGGUGAUGAUGGUGAUGAUGAUGAUGAUGAUGAUGGUGAUGAGUGAUGAUGAUGAUGAUGAUGAUGAUGGUGAUGAUGAUGAUGAUGAUGGUGAUGAUGAUGAUGAUGGUGAUGAUGUGAUGAUGAUGGUGAUGAUGGUGAUGAUGAUGAUGAUGAUGGUGAUGAUGGUGAUGAUGAUGAUGAUGAUGAUGAUUGUGAAUGAUGAUGAUGGU
This is a long non-coding RNA of Ictalurus punctatus (channel catfish), 322 nucleotides long. Lineage: Eukaryota; Metazoa; Chordata; Actinopteri; Siluriformes; Ictaluridae. The record is from Ensembl.